Molecule: ribosomal RNA, 536 nt
Filed under: uncultured archaeon
Lineage: Archaea
Description: bacterial SSU rRNA
Rfam family: Archaeal small subunit ribosomal RNA
Source: RNAcentral
AAUGCACGCAAGUGCGAUGGGGGGACUCCGAGUGCAGGCUCCUCACAAAGGAGUCUGCUUUUCUGUACUGUAAGGAGGUACAGGAACAAGGGGUGGGCAAGACGGCUGCCAGCCGCCGCGGUAAUAGCCGCACCCCAAGUGGUGACCAGUAUUAUUGGGCUUAAAGUGUUCGUAGCCGGACCUGCAAGUCUGCUGUGAAAUCCAAGCGCUCAACGUUUGGAAGUGCAGUGGAUACUGCAGGUCUAGGGACCGGACGGCGUCGAGGCUAUUCCAUGGGUAGGAGUGAAAUCCUAAAAUCCAUGGAGGAGCACCUGUGGCGAAAGCGCUCGGCGAGUACGGAUCCGACGGUGAGGAACGAAAGCUAGGGGAGCAAAGCGGAUUAGAUACCCGCGUAGUCCUAGCCGUUAACAUUGUGCAUUUGAUGUCGGCUAACCUUCGAGGUUAGCCGGUGCCGAAGUGAAAACGUUAAAUGCACCGCCUGGGUAGUACGGUCGCAAGGCUGAAACUUAAAGGAAUUGGCGGGGGAGCACGGUCAU